This 497-nucleotide ribosomal RNA is filed under the name uncultured bacterium. Its description in RNAcentral is "partial 16S ribosomal RNA". It matches the Rfam family "Bacterial small subunit ribosomal RNA", at positions 28 to 507 of the family's 1533-position model. The record is from RNAcentral.
GAUGAACGCUGGCGGCGUGCCUAAUACAUGCAAGUCGAACGCACAGCGAAAGGUGCUUGCACCUUUCAAGUGAGUGGCGAACGGGUGAGUAACACGUGGACAACCUGCCUCAAGGCUGGGGAUAACAUUUGGAAACAGAUGCUAAUACCGAAUAGAACUUAGUGUCGCAUGACACAAAGUUAAAAGGCGCUUCGGCGUCACCUAGAGAUGGAUCCGCGGUGCAUUAGUUAGUUGGUGGGGUAAAGGCCUACCAAGACAAUGAUGCAUAGCCGAGUUGAGAGACUGAUCGGCCACAUUGGGACUGAGACACGGCCCAAACUCCUACGGGAGGCUGCAGUAGGGAAUCUUCCACAAUGGGCGAAAGCCUGAUGGAGCAACGCCGCGUGUGUGAUGAAGGCUUUCGGGUCGUAAAGCACUGUUGUAUGGGAAGAACAGCUAGAAUAGGAAAUGAUUUUAGUUUGACGGUACCAUACCAGAAAGGGACGGCUAAAUACGUG